This 77-nucleotide transfer RNA is filed under the name Promethearchaeota archaeon. RNAcentral's name for it is "Candidatus Lokiarchaeota archaeon tRNA-Lys". It matches the Rfam family "tRNA". From Rfam's summary of the family: Transfer RNA (tRNA) molecules are approximately 80 nucleotides in length. The record is from RNAcentral. Lineage: Archaea; Promethearchaeati; Promethearchaeota.
GGGUUUGUUUCCUAGCGGCUAAGGUACCGGACCCUUAAUCCGUGUUUCCGGGGGUUCGAGUCCCCCCAAACCCUCUA